GACGAACCGUGCAAACGUUAUUCGGAAUCACUGGGCUUAAAGGGCGCGUAGGCGGGUGGUCCAGUCAGGGGUGAAAUCUUUCGGCCUAACCGGAAAAGUGCCUCUGAUACGGACCGUCUCGAGGGAGGUAGGGGCAUGCGGAACUUCCGGUGGAGCGGUGAAAUGCGUAGAUAUCGGAAGGAACGCCGGUGGCGAAAGCGGCGUGCUGGACCUCUUCUGACGCUGAGGCGCGAAAGCCAGGGGAGCAAACGGG
RNAcentral lists this ribosomal RNA (253 nucleotides) under uncultured bacterium. RNAcentral describes it as "partial 16S ribosomal RNA". It matches the Rfam family "Bacterial small subunit ribosomal RNA", at positions 524 to 776 of the family's 1533-position model. The record is from RNAcentral.